This is a long non-coding RNA of Mustela erminea (ermine), 1939 nucleotides long. RefSeq lists it as uncharacterized. The transcript has 3 exons. The record is from RefSeq and is a predicted model, not a curated record. Lineage: Eukaryota; Metazoa; Chordata; Mammalia; Carnivora; Mustelidae.
GCUGUCAGGGAGCUCAGGCGUGGCAAGGAGACCUGCAUUGGAGGGUGAGGAAGGAGCAUAGCGCCAUAGCCUCCUAGAGAUGUGGACGCCCAGGCUAGCGCAGCAGCAGGAGGGAGACAAGCUAAUGCAACAACGGCCGCAGAGCCUCUCGUGACCAGGGGACUGGCUGGAUGAGGCCCUAAGAACUUCAAGUGGAGGACAUCAAGAAAAGAUCACAUGCCAGAAUUUCUGCAUUUGAUUUUUCAAGUCGGCUCAUAAUCCCAUCAGGGGUUUUGAACUCAGUUGGCACGGCCCAUGUGACUCAUCAGUCCCUGAGGCAGUCCCAGGCAAGAAACAGGGACUGCUCACCACGCACGAUCCCAACAAGGCAACCUGGAACGAAUUUACGGAAGAACCCGGAGUUCCCAUAAGUAUGAAAUAUGUGAAGCCUGCCAGGCACAGCUCUCAGAGAGAAAGGCAGCAUCUGGAUUCUGGGUUAGUGUUCAAUGAUGGCACACCACCCUCUGCUCAAAUCCUGUAACACGUUUAUUUAGUGAAGAAACGGGUUGUUUCUUGAGGGCCUAGGUCUGAGCCGGGGAUGGUCCUAAGAAGGAGAUGCUGGGGGGCAGGGCCCAUCCCUGAGGAAUCUCUGUGCAGGUGGGGGCAGCAGUGUAGGGCCAACAGGAUGGGUCUGAGUGGGGCAGGGUCUGGGUUGGGGCAGAGGGCAGAGAUGAAUGUCCCCACCUUCUAAGGAAGAAGACAGUGCGAUGGCACAAGACAGGACAGAUACAGCUCCUACCUGGGGGAGCUCGGGGAAUUAAGGGAAAGUGCUGGAAAUAGCCAGGCGCACUGCCAGAGGGGAGCAAAAAUGGGCUUCCAUUUCCAUCUCAACAUUUCAGAAAGUUCCUGAAUAUAGACUCUUCCACAUCGGGACAUCCUUUACCACCGAGACACAAAGCUAUUCAUUGAAGAAUUGUCUGGGAAACACUGGAACUGACUCCAUGCCUUCUACCAACAAGGAGCUGGUAAAAUCAGUCAGAUUCGCAUGCGAUAAAACACUCUCCAGCCCAGGCAAGGAGGAGGAAGUCCUCAUUGCUCUGAUAUGCCACAAUCACCAAGAUAUAUUUUAAGUAACAAAUGCCAUGUGCAUCAUCAGGGAAAUCAAAUUUUAAAGCAUGAUGAGUGAUGAUUUCACACAUACCCGCCUGGAAAUUUUAAAAAAACUGUUAAUUCCAAGUAUUGGCUAGGAAGUGGGGCAAAGGGAAACCUCGAGCACACUGGCAAGUGUGUGAAUUGUCACAAGCACUCUGAAAGAGUUUGGCAUCAGCUACUGAAGUUGACGCUGUGAAUUCCGUGGGAGCCUGCAAAUCCCCGAGGGCAACCUGAACCCAAGUUCCCACCAACCCCCACGCCCCCCAACAUACACACCAGGCAAGAAGUGAUAAAGAGCAUUCACACCAGGACUGUUCCUAGAAGCCAAAAGUGGGAAGCAACCCAAAUGUCCUUAAAUAGUGCCAUGAAAAAUUAAUGGUGUCCUCUUAAUACAAAGGAAUUCUGUACCGAGUGACAACGAACCAAGCGCAGGCAGGCACAUCGACCAAAUCUUGGAUCAUACUCACCGGUGGGACAAAAGCAAGUUGCAUAAGACCACAUGCGUGAUACACUUCCUUCUCUUCGAAAUCCCAAAAGAAGAGACAGUGCACCAUAUUUAUUGUGUGCUGAUUUAAACAUAUGGCAGGACUAUAGAGGAAAAAAGGGGGGGCAUGAUAAGUACAACAUUCGGGAUAGUAUUGGGGGAAAAAGGUGCGGGGUGGGAAGAGAUUUAAAAAGCUCUGCUUCUUUGUCUCGGACAGGUGGCAGACACCAGAUGUCUUACUACAUUGUGGAGUUUUUGUUUUAUUUAUAUGUUAUUGUAUAACUGCUAUUUUUGUAGAUACUCAAUAUUUAAUAAAAAUGAUUU